Long non-coding RNA from Biomphalaria glabrata, 5119 nucleotides. RefSeq lists it as uncharacterized. NCBI's taxonomy places the organism in Eukaryota, Metazoa, Mollusca, Gastropoda, Planorbidae. The transcript has 10 exons. The record is from RefSeq and is a predicted model, not a curated record.
AGAUGUUGAGUAUUGAUUACUAAUCAACUACUAGCCUGGAAGAUAAAAGCCAAAGCUGUAAACAGACAGGUCAGGUAAAUAUAUGAAUGAAGAAAUUAAAUCUAGAAGUAAACAUCAUGGGAAGUCUAAUUAUAGGGCAAGUAUUUUUCCUUCAUAUCUUAUUUAACAUAGUCAAACCAUGCAAUACUUAUAGGCUUAACUAUUGUUUUCAUAGAAACAAUGUUAUUUUAAAUAUCAUGAGAUAGUGUAUUUAAGAGAUAUUGUAGUUCAAGUUUCCAUAUUUAAUCAGCUUAACAAGUGCACAUUCUCUGCUGCCAACAGUACCAAUUUGUCAUCCAAGCAACAAAUAUUCCUUGGUAAUCUGCUAUCAGAUGACAGUUAUCUCUUUGGCAUUUUUAUGAAUUAAAGCUUUCAAAGCCAAACUUCAGAUUUGCUUAGCAUAUUCCUGUACUACAUAUCAACAAAUGUUUGAUGGUUUGUCUGGUUCAUCUCUUAACACUAUGAAGAUGGCUACACUAAUCUUAACAAGCAAACAUUCUGUUGCCAACAGUACCAAUUUGUCAUCCUAUCCAAGCAACUACUAUUCCUUGGUAAUCUGCUAUCAGAUGAUUACAGUUUUCUCUUUGGCAUUUGUAUGAAUUAAAGCUUUCAAAGCCAAACCUUAGAUUUGGUUAGCAUAACCCUGAACUGCAUAUCAACAAAUGUCUAAUGGUCUGUCUGGUUCAUUUCUCAAGACUAUGAAGAUGGCUACACAUGUAUCAGCUAUCAGCAGUGCACCCCUAUGAUACACAAGUCUUCAUUGCCAAGUCACUCUGCCAAACAGAGUGUACACCUUUCUUGCAUUGGUAGUGACCCACUUUACUGUCAUGAGUCUGGAUAUGUCAGGCCAAGGAGAUCAAGUUUGUGUCCAAGGUUACUUAGUUAAUUCUCUAAGAACAAUAGACAGACUCUACAUGCUACUGAUCUGGAGGUUAGUGGCUCAAUCAUUGUGCACUGAUUCUUCACUGAUGCCUUGAUUCCCCACUGUCAACUUUAUUGUCAUAAAGUUUAUCUAGUGAUCUACAUAUCAAGACUAAAUGGUCAAUUAAACAUGAGGUCAAGGAAAAAGGAUGAACAUUUCAAGGCUACUGAAGGAACAUUAAACGUCUCUCUCACUGUGAAAAGAUUCUACCGAUCUACAAAUGAUCAACAUGUUUUAUCUUAAGUUCGUCUGCCAUUUCUUCAAAUUGAGCCAUAUUAAGAAUAAGAUUCUUUUUGUUCAUCCUAAGGUUCAAAUGUAUCAGUUGUUUUUGUUGACAGAUAUCAAGGUACAGAAAUAAGAAUCUAAUUUAGAGUUUUUUAAAGCUUGAUUAGUCAUAAUAUUUGCACUAUUAUUUCCAAUAUGUGCCAGAGUGUCUGCUAAAUGUAACUAGUAUGAUUAAAAACAUGGUCAUUGCAAAGUCUAACAUAUGGACAAGUAGGAUGCUUGGGGCUUGAUUCAGUGAAAGAAUGUUGGACAAGCAGAAGUGUUAUGGAGUGUGUGUGUUUUUAUGGUGACUGUGGUAAGAGGUAAGCGAUUGAAUGUGAAUGAUGCAAAAGUGGCAUUGUCGUCACUGGGUCUUAGUUAGGGGAGACGACUCCAGAAUGUAAGACUGAAAGGUUGUGUUAUUGUAGUGAGUUAGAUUGUAAGAAAUUUUAUUACUUAAGUCUACUACAUUUAUUUCAUGUGAUCACAAGUAUUAUAAAUGUUAUAUUUAGUUUUGUUCACAAGGAAGUUGUUCAAGUUCUUAUUAGCUAAGAUAUAUUAUGCCUUCAACAGUUUAGUUGCCUACCAGCAGUUUGGUGCUACAAGUCAACAACAGUCAGACUAAAUUAAAUAAAGCCAUGUCUAUUUCUACAUGAUUUUGUUGCUACUAACCUGGUGUUACUAACAACUAACUCGAAAAGGGAGAGGGGAAUUAUCAUCUUAUUCAUGUACUAUUUACAUUAGAUUUUUACCAAAUUAUUUUAAUUUUUACUACCCUUACUAUUUUAACUGUGAAUAGACCUUGAUUUUAAUGAUUUAACUGUAUAGAAUUUAGCCCCUGUUAUGUAGAGAGAGAGAGUAGUCUUUAAGGGACUGCAGGCACGACAUGGCCUAAAUUGUGCAGAUGUGCAUAAAAUCAAAGAAAUAAAACAUUAACAAAAUGUGUAUUAUAAUUGUCACUUUUCCUCUACUUAGAAUUUUUUUCUCUCCUAGAUUUUCAUAAUUUUUUGUUGAAGUCAUAUCAGUUCUCAAUUAUUUUGUGCACCAAGUUACAAGAAAAAAUUUAAGCAAGAGAGGUCACUACACUAAGACUUUGUCUUCUCAUAAGAAAGGAUGGCUGCCUGGUCAUGUGAUAUGUGCACUGGACUGUGUAUGGUCAUCUUGAUGCUCAUAUCUUGCCUGAUGACAUUUAUUCUGCUGAAUAUUUGGUCAAGGAAGUAGAUUCUCUUCAGCUCUCAAGAAACAUUCAAAACAUGUCAAACAUUCGACAAGAAUAUCAAGUGCAAUGUACAUACCAACAUGAUGAAAAGGUAGACAACAUGAAGAUGUAGACCAACAUGAUGAAGAUGUAGACCAACAUGAAGAGGUAGACCAGCAUGAUGAAGAUGUAGACCAACAUGAUGAAGAUGUAGACCAACAUGAAGAUGAAAUGUAAACCAAAAAAUGGGUCAAGAGAUGUAUGGAAUACAAUGUGAACAUCUUGAGAAGUAAAACAAUUCCUAGAGGCAAAGACACAGACACACCGGAUCUAUUAGAGAUUUUCCUUUUCUACCAUCAUUUAGAGACUUCCUUGUGCUCUAAGGGAAUAUGUCAUUAUCUUUUGAUUGCUAAUUGGCAUUGAUGUUUUUACAUUCCUACUGCGUCUGAAAGAAAUUAACAUUUCCCUAAUGCUACUUCAAAACCAGACCUUCUCAAGACAAUUUUAGUGACCAAGCUGCAAUAUGGGACUCAGUAGGAAACAAUGAAGAAUGCUCCUAACCUCAGGUUGAGUAACCAUGCUCACCUACUAGAGUGGCGACAAAUACUUCUACACCCACAGUUAUACAUCCUGAACCCUGUAACCCAACCUCACAACAUGGUUACAUUACCGGAAGUGGUCGCAAGGUCAGAAAACCUAACAGAUACAAUGGAUAGAACAAUGAACAGGUACAAGUACUCAAGUGAUGUACUUUGUGAGAACUAUUUAGGUGGAAUCACCAUAAUUGACUUGUAUAAAUCUUGUUCUAUAUUUAGGUAUAUCUUGACAAUCAGUCCAGUCAUUUGUUCAUUUUUUUUUUUAAUAUUCCUUUUUUUCCCCUCAAACUUCUUGUUGUUUCAGUUACAUGUUUUUGUAUUUUGAAGGAGGAAGGUGCUUUGGUAUAUUAUCCUUAUUAUUAUUGUACCAGUAUUAAGCAAACUUGUAUAUCUUUAAUUAUUCAUGAAUUCUAAAGCAGAACGUCACUUCCACCGGAAAAUGUUGUAACAACUAUACGUGUCUUCAGUUAACAUUCAAUACUCUGUACAGUCACAACGCCAAAGCCUUGCUAGAUUAUGCUUUUAAUUCAAUUUGUUAUCUCCCCUGCUUUAGUGUGCUAUCAUAUAAUUUUUUGUGUCACAUCCCUGCACAAUUUGUUCUAUGCUUUUUUACAGUAUAAAUAGCGACUUGACAUUAUUUAGCUAUAUUAUAAUAUUGUUAUAUUAUUAUAUUUAAAAUAAAACUGUUAACAUAUUCUAUGCUGUUAUGAUAUAAAUGUUUUGCUGUUACCAUGAAUACAGUUUUGAGUUUUUGUCUGAUUUCUUAGAGGAGAAAUUUUCCAUAAAUAAUAAUAAUAAGGCUUAUCUUCAAGUCCGAAGAUUAGUGAGAAGUAUGCAGUAUUCCCCAGCUAGGACCUACAUAUUUUGCUAUAAAUAAAGAGUAUAAUAAUAUUUACUACUUGGUAUUGUCAGUCUUCACUAAAGCAAUGAGUUUAUCCCCUUAGUGUGUUUAAAAUUUUCAAAUACUAAUUCACUUUGUAUUAUUUAUUGGUGAUCAUGGGGUAUCCACUUUGUCAUCUCCAUAGUCUCUGGUGUUAACACUCACUGUCCUGUUGGAGGUUACGGCUAGGAUGUAAUCUCUCUUUCUGAUGGAACACAUGUAAAACCAACAAAACAAACAUUAGACCUAGACUUUAUUAACAGGUAAAUUUUUAUAAUUGUGAACUGGCGCUCCCAAAGCUACUUUUAUGUAUUUUAAAUUUUACUUCCGUAGGCUAGUGCUAAGCUGUAUACUUGUAUUUCUGCCUAUUAUAUGGGUUAGGGUGGAGUAUUUAAAAUAGAGCCUAUGCUGUUUCCUGUACUGUUGACCAGUGGUCUCUGUGUCAGUUUUAAUUAUUCUGUACCUGGGACUGCCUGUAAGUUUCAGAAUUUUUCUUUUAUUUUUUAAAAUUUUACUAUGUGUAAAUCUGUUUUAUAUUUGAACAACUGUCAAAAUAACUAGCAGUUUUUUUUUUCUAAAGUUUGUUUUAAAACUAUGGCCAAGCCCUGCCCAGUGCUUUCAUGAUGGCCACUUCUAAUGUUUAUGUACUAGAUUGUAACUGCUGCCUUAGUCAUUGAAAUUAAAGUCUCAUUUGAAUUUCUUCUUUAUGUUUCUAGAUUUCUUUUAGUUCGCUAGUUUAGUUUAGUUAUCUGGUUGCUUAGAUGACUCAAACCCCUUGGUCACAGAGGUGCACAGAUACAACCCACCCAGUAGUGUUACAAUCUGGCAACUGUAACUUCUUGUUAUCCCAGGCUAGACAUGACCUUAGGCCCCGCCAGGCUAACAUAUUCUCUCAUUCCAGACAGCAUUGUCCCUAACAAUAAAUAAUUACCUUGCUUUAGUUGUAGAAUGAAAGAUGAGCAAACAGUUAAAAGUUUCUAUAGAAUUCACUUGGAGGUGUGGUGGCUAAGCGGUAAAGUGCUUGGCUGCCAAACAUAGGUCUAGGGUUUGAAGACCAUUUUUUUUAUAAUGGUCCUAAUAUAAAGAAAAACAAUUAGGCACCUUUCGGUCCACCCAGCUCAAAUGGGUUCCUGACAUUUAAUGGAGAAAAGUAAAGGCGGUUGGUCAUUGUGGUGGUCACCUGAUACCCUCAUUGACCAUAAGACACAGAAACAGAUGAU